This is an RNA transcript of Ochotona princeps (American pika), 9145 nucleotides long. It is a transcript of the gene named serine/arginine repetitive matrix 2, with no coding region annotated. The transcript has 14 exons. The record is from RefSeq and is a predicted model, not a curated record. Lineage: Eukaryota; Metazoa; Chordata; Mammalia; Lagomorpha; Ochotonidae.
GUUCCCAGCGGGCCCCGCGCUGCGCGCGUUUGCGGGCUGACGCCUUCAUUCGGUCGUGCUGACGUGCAGCGCGGCCCAGGCGGGGUGCGAGUGGCGCAGUCGGAGCCCGCUGCGGCCCCUGAGGAAGCGAGGAGGCGGCAGCGUCGGGUGAGGAGCGGUGGUGCCCCCGGGCACAGGGCCAUGUACAACGGGAUCGGGCUGCCGACGCCCCGGGGCAGCGGCACCAACGGCUACGUCCAGCGCAACCUGUCCCUGGUGCGGGGCCGCCGGGGUGAGCGGCCUGACUACAAGGGAGAGGAGGAGCUGCGGCGCCUGGAGGCUGCCCUGGUGAAGCGGCCUAACCCUGACAUCCUGGACCACGAGCGCAAGCGGCGCGUGGAGCUGCGAUGCCUCGAGCUGGAGGAGAUGAUGGAAGAGCAGGGGUACGAGGAACAACAAAUUCAGGAAAAAGUGGCGACCUUUCGACUCAUGUUGCUGGAGAAGGAUGUGAACCCUGGGGGCAAGGAGGAGACCCCGGGGCAGAGGCCAACGGUAACUGAGACUCACCAGUUGGCAGAAUUGAAUGAGAAGAAGAAUGAGCGACUCCGUGCUGCCUUUGGCAUCAGUGACUCCUACGUGGAUGGCAGCUCUUUCGAUCCUCAGCGUCGAGCCCGGGAGGCUAAACAGGCUGCUGCUGAGCCUCCCAAGCCUUACAGCCUUGUCCGGGAGUCUAGCAGUUCUCGCUCCCCGACUCCAAAGCAGAAGAAGAAGAAGAAGAAGAAAGAUCGAGGACGCAGGUCAGAGAGCAGCUCUCCUCGACGGGAGCGGAAGAAGAGCUCCAAGAAGAAGAAACACAGAUCAGAAUCUGAGUCAAAGAAACGGAAGCAUAGAUCUCCUACUCCGAAGAGCAAACGUAAAUCUAAGGACAAGAAGCGCAAGCGGUCCAGAAGUACAACACCUGCUCCUAAGAGCCGCCGGACCCACCGAUCAACCUCUGCCGAUUCUGCUUCUUCCUCCGACACUUCUCGCAGCCGGUCUCGGAGCGGUGCAGCUAAAACCCAUGCAACUGCCAUGACUGGGCGAAGUCCUUCCCCUGCGUCAGGGCGUCGAGGGGAGGGAGACGCUCCUCCUGGUGAGCCAGGUGCCACCAGUGUGCAGCAGCCUGGCAGCCCGGAGCCCUCCACCAAGCAGCCCAGCAGCCCUUCGGAGGACAAAGACAAGGAGGAGAAAUCUGCAGUGCGACCUAGCCCUUCUCCGGAAAGGAGCAGUGCAGGCCCAGAACCACCUGCGCCCCCUCCACUCCUUGCUGUGCAGCGUGGCAGCUCUCCACAGCCCGUUACAACAACCCCUUUAAGUCAGGAGCCAGUGAAUCCUCCAUCUGAGGCCUCCCCAACCCGGGGCCGUUCACCACCUAAGUCUCCUGAGAAGCCUGCCCCAUCUUCCUCAGAGAGCUCACCACCAUCCCCUCAACCUACCAAAGCGUCUCGGCAUGCGAGCUCAUCCCCUGACAGUCCUAAGCCCACUCCAGCUCCUGGGGCCCGCCGGGGGGCUUCUUCUUCUCCUACAUCCAAGACCCGCUCACAUGGCAGAGCAAAGCGGGAGAAGUCGCGUUCUCUUACACCUUCACGUAGAGGGGGGAGGUCCCGUAGCCCAGCUACUGCCAAGAGGGGGCGAUCUCGGUCCCGGUCCCCUCAGUGGCGUAGGUCCCGAUCAGCACAGAGGUGGGGAAGGUCAAGAAGUCCCCAGCGGCGUGGCCGCUCUAGGUCUCCUCAGAGGCCAGGCUGGUCCAGGAGCAGAAAUACCCAGAGAAGAGGCAGGUCUAGGUCAGCGAGGCGAGGCAGGUCACAUUCUAGAUCCCCAGCCACUAGAGGCAGAUCUCGUUCUAGAACACCAGCCAGGCGGGGCAGGUCUCGCUCUAGAACGCCUGCCAGGCGUCGAUCUAGGUCCAGAACAUCUGCCAGGCGUCGAUCUAGGUCCAGGACACCCAUCCGCAGGGGCAGGUCUCGCUCUAGAACGCCCGCCAGGCGUCGUUCUAGAACCCGGUCUCCUGUUCGGCGGAGAUCUCGCAGUAGAUCUCCGGCAAGGAGAAGUGCCCGGUCACGCUCUAGAACCCCAGCCAGGCGUGCCCGGUCACGCUCUAGAACCCCAGCCAGGCGUGGUGGGCGGUCACGUUCCAGAAGCCCAGCUAGGCGUGGCCGCUCACGUUCUAGAACACCAGCCAGGAGAGGGCGGUCUCGGUCUAGAACACCAGCAAGGCGAGGAAGGUCCCGAAGCAGAAGUGUAGUUAGACGUGGGAGAUCCCACUCUCGGACACCCCAGAGAAGGGGAAGGUCCGGCUCUUCCUCAGAGAGGAAGAACACACCCAGAACAUCUCGGAGAAGCAGAUCCAACUCAAGCUCAGAAAUGAAAAAAUCUCACGUUGCCUCAAGGCGUAGCAGGUCUGUCUCUUCACCUCGAUCCAAAGCAAAAUCUCGCUUGUCUUUGAGGCGAAGCCUUUCAGGGUCUUCUCUGUGCCCUAAGCAAAAGUCGCAGACACCACCCAGGCGCAGCCGGUCUGGAUCAUCCCAACCUAAAGCAAAAUCUGAAACGCCAAUAAGACGAAGUCGCUCUGGUUCUUCACCACCACCUAAGCAGAAAUCUAAGACACCAUCACGACAGAGUCAGUCUAACUUAUCUCCUCAGCCUAAGGUGAAAUCUGGAACACCACCAAGGCAAGGGUCUGGAACAAGUCCCCAGGGCACCGGACAGUCUACAACACCGCCAAGACGCAGUCGGUCCGAGUCAUCGCCUGAGGCUGAGGGGAAAUCUGGGACCCCACUGAGACUUGGCUGCUCUGGGGCUUCUCCUCAGCUCAAGUCUAGCACACCUCCAAGGCAGACUCCAUCUAGAUCCGCAUCUCCACCGCCACGAGGAAAGGCUGCGUCAGCUGUGUCCUCACCACGGCAGAGAAGCCUCUCUGGCUCCUCCUCUCCAAGUCCUGGUAGGCUGGCAUCUAGAACACCUCCAAGGCGGGGCAGAUCCGUGUCUCCGUGCACCAAGGGGGGGUCGAGGUUGUUGCCAAGACACAGCCGUUCUAGGUCCACCUCACCAGAUGCCAAAGCAGAACCUGAAACUCCAAGACAAAGUCACUCAAGGUCUACUUCUCCAUGCCUCAAAGUCAAGUCUGAAACUCCACCAGGGCAGCGUCUUACUGGAUCAAAGUCACCAGAUCCCCAGGAGAAGCCUGAGGACGUGGCAGCAGCAGCAGCAGCACAGAGUCACUCUGUGAAAUCUAGCUCCCCACCAGCAGGGAGCGAUUUGGACUCCUCUCUGCAACAGACAGGACAGUCUCCCAGAUCCGACGCUUCAAGCCCGGAAGUGCAGAGGCCCUUGCAGUCUUCGUCUCUGCUGGGCAGAUCUCGAACACCACCUAAAGGUUGCCGAUCGAGGUCCUCGUCUCCAAUCAGUGAGCUGGCCUCAAGAUCUCCAGUGAAUGAUGGAGGUGAAUUGGUCAGUCCUCGGCUGAAAUCGGGGAUGUCUCCUGGGCAGGGCAGGUCCCAGUCUGACUCUUGCUCCUAUCCUGUGAGCCAAAAAUCUUUUCUGGGACAGGGUAGAUCAGAACCUUUUUCUGAGUCGAAAGAGACAGCCUUCCCCACUCAAGAGGGUGUGACUGCAGCAUCUCCUGGACCGAGAGGCAGGUUCAGUCCGCUGGGACCGGAGAAGUCGGAGGCCUCACCUGGACUAGGAGAGACACCGAGGAGUGGCACGGGGUCACCUGCAGACCAGACUAGCGUAUCAGUGAAGGUAAACCAAGAUGAGGAGUUCAUGGAAGUGACAGAGAAGUCUGAACAGCCCACCAGCCAGCUCCUGCCCCGUGUGUCUCCAGAGCGUAAUGAAAUGGCUGCAAGCAGCUUGGGAUUGUCUCCCGAGGUAGAAGAAAGGCCUGUGUCCUUGGCGCUUGACCACAGCCAGUCGCCGGCUCCUUUGGAAGCAGUGGAAAUUCCUGCAGUGGCCUCGUCCUGGGGUGGAGCACAGUUUUCUCCAGAACGUAAAGAACUGUCUAGCUCACCUGGCAGGGAAAAUAGCUUUGGGUCACCUUUAGAGCUUAGAAAUUCAGGCCCUGUUACAGAAGUGAGCAGUGGAUUUUCUCCUGAGGUUAAGGAAGAUUUGAGUGGAUCUUUCAUUCCUCAGCAUGAGACAGACACGUCUCUAGAUGUGAAAGAACAGUCAACAAGGUCCUCCAGACGCAGCAGCUCUGAGUCAUCCCCGGAUGUUCUGGAGAAGGCAGGAAUGUCUCCAAACCAGAGUGUCUCUUCACCUGUUCUUGAUGCUGGAGCCAGAACACCCUCGAGAGAAAGGGGCAGUUCAGCAUCUUCUCCUGAGCCAAAGGAGGGCUUACCCAGGACUCCAUCACGGAGAAGCAGGUCUGGGUCUUCUCCGGGGCUUAGAGAAGGGUCAGGGACUCCUUCGAGACACAGCCUGUCUGGCUCCUCCCCUGGAACAAAGGAAGCACCUAGGACACCAUCCAGGGGGAGGAGUGAGUGCGACUCUUCACCAGAACCAAAAGUUUUGCCUCAGACUCCGAGGGUAAAGAGUCGUUCUCCAUCAUCUCCAGAGCUCAACAAGGGUCUGACCCCGCAGAGGGCGCGGAGUGGAUCCGAGUCCUCCGCUGAGCAGAAGGCAGUGGCCAGAACUCCCCUUGGACAGAGAAGUCGGUCUGGAUCUUCUCAAGAACUUGAUGGGAAGCCCAGCACAUCCCCGCAGGAAAGAAGUGAGUCAGAAUCUUCCCCAGAUGUGAAAGCCAAGCCAAGAGCCCCACUGAGGCAGAGGAGUCGCUCGGGGUCCUCUGCAGAGGUUGAGAAGCCCCGGCCUUCCCGGCGCAGCAGGUCAGCUUCCUCCCCUGAGGCGAAAGAUGGGGCUAGAGUGGCAGCCAGAGCUCCGAGUGCUUCUGAUUCUUCUCCGGAACCUCAAGUUCCUGUGCCCCGGGCUCUCCCCAGACGGAGCAGGUCACCCUCCUCUGGCAAGGACAGAGGCCCUUCCCCUGAAGGCAGCAGCAGUUCUGAGUCUUCCCCAGAGCACCCCCCCAAGUCAAGAGCCGUGCGAAGAGGCUCCAGGUCCUCCCCAGAACCGACCAAGACCAAAUCGCGCACACCACCCCGGCGGCGUGCUUCCCGGUCACCUGAGCUGACCAGGAAGGCCCGGCCCUCCCGCAGGAGCCGCUCUGCCUCUUCCUCACCAGAAGCCCGCUCCAGAACUCCGAGGCGCCGACGAAGCCCCUCAGUGUCUUCCCCUGAGCCAACCGAGAAGUCAAGAUCUUCACGCAGGAGGCGUUCGCCUUCAUCUCCCCGCACCAAGACAACUUCAAGGAGAGGUCGUUCUCCCUCUCCCAAGCCUCGUGGGCUGCAGAGGUCCCGCUCUCGCUCCAGGAGGGAGAAAGCGAGAACAGCCCGACGUCGAGAGAGAUCUGGAUCUUCCCAGUCAACCUCUCGGAGAAGGCAGCGGAGCCGGUCAAGGUCUCGGGUUACUCGGCGGCGGCGGGGAGGCUCUGGUUACCACUCAAGGUCACCUGCCAGGCAAGAGAGUUCCCGAACCUCCUCCCGACGCCGGAGGGGUCGUUCUCGAACACCCCCAACUAGCCGGAAGCGUUCUCGCUCACGCACGUCGCCAGCCUUGUGGAAGCGCUCCCGAUCCCGGGCCUCUCCAGCUGCUCACCGCCGGUCGCGGUCCAGAACACCCCUGAUCAGCCGCCGGAGGUCCAGGUCUCGGACCUCACCAGUUAGUCGGAGACGGUCAAGGUCUAGGACGUCGGUGACUCGACGAAGGUCUCGGUCAAGAGCGUCCCCGGUGAGUCGAAGGCGGUCAAGAUCCAGAACACCACCUGUUACUCGCCGCCGUUCAAGGUCUAGGACCCCAACAACUCGCCGUCGGUCCCGGUCCAGAACUCCACCUGUGACUCGCAGGAGAUCUAGAUCGAGAACUCCGCCGGUAACCAGGAGGCGAUCUCGCAGCAGAGCUUCGCCUGUUGCUCGCAGAAGAUCAAGAUCCAGAACAUCUCCAGUCGCUCGAAGAAGGUCUCGCUCUCGGACCUCUCCGGUGACCCGCCGCCGCUCGAGAUCUCGGACCCCUCCAGCCAUUCGACGCAGGUCUAGAUCUCGCACGCCACUGUUGCCACGCAAACGCUCCCGCAGUCGCUCACCACUUGCCAUCCGUCGCCGCUCCAGAUCCCGUACUCCAAGAACAACUCGAGGCAAGCGAUCCUUAACAAGAUCUCCUCCUGCUAUCCGCAGGCGGUCUGCCUCUGGAAGCAGUUCUGAUCACUCACGUUCUGCUACUCCUCCGGCAACGCGAAAUCACUCUGGGUCUCGGACACCUCCAGUAGCGCUCAGUGGUUCCAGAAUGAGCUGCUUCAGUCGCCCUAGCAUGUCACCAACACCUCUUGACCGAUGCAGAUCACCUGGAAUGCUUGAACCCCUUGGCAGUUCUCGGACGCCCAUGUCUGUCCUGCAACAGGCUGGCGGCUCCAUGAUGGACGGUCCAGGACCACGGAUACCUGAUCACCCAAGAGCUUCUGUCCCAGAAAAUCAUGCCCAGUCCAGAAUCGCGCUUGCCCUGACGGCCAUCAGUCUUGGCACUGCCCGACCUCCUCCGUCCAUGUCUGCUGCUGGCCUUGCUGCAAGAAUGUCUCAGGUUCCAGCUCCGGUGCCUCUCAUGAGUCUCAGAACGGCCCCAGCUGCCAGCCUUGCUAGCAGGAUUCCUGCCGCCUCUGCAGCAGCCAUGAACCUGGCCAGUGCCAGGACACCGGCCAUGGCAGCAGCAGUGAACAUGGCUGACGCACGGAGCCCCGCCGCCGCCGCAGCCAUGAACUUAGCCAGCCCCAGAACAGCAGUGGCACCUCCUGCUGGGAACCUUGCCGACCCUCGCAGCCCUGCAGCCUCAGCUGUGAACCUAGCAGGAGCCAGGACUGCCGCUGCUUUGGCAGCUUUGAGUCUCACCGGCUCUGGCACACCCCCAGCUGCUGCAAAUUAUCCUUCCAGCUCCAGGACACCCCAGGCUCCAGCCCCUGCAAAUUUGGUGGGUGCCCGGUCUGCACAUGGCGCAGCGCCUGUGAAUAUUGCCAGCUCCAGAAGCCCUGCAGCCUUAGCCCCGGCAGGUCUCAGCGGUGCUCGGCUGACACCAGCAUUGUCUGGUGCAAACCUCACCAGCCCCAGGGGGCACCUCUCUGCUUAUGAGCGUGUCAGUGGCCGCUCCUCACCACAGCUCCUUGACAGAGCUAGGUCCAGAACACCACCACCUGUCCCUAGCCAGUCUAGAAUGACCUCAGAGCGGGCUCCCUCUCCUGGCUCGAGAAUGGUUCAGGCUCCUGCUCAGCCUCUUCUCCCUCCAGCACAGGAAAGGCCCAGGUCCCCUGUGCCCUCAGCUUUCUCAGAUCAGUCUCGUGUGGUCGCCCAGACCACCACUGUAGUAGGCUCUCAGGCCCUUUCCCCGGGGACAGGGCUGAAAACCAUGUCUGCCGCCGACCACAAUGGCAUGCUCUCUGGCCCUGGCCCUGGGGUAGCACACCCCGAGGGUGGGGAGUCACCUGUCCCUACUGUGGCCCAGCAAUCUGCUCUGGCUGCCCUGCAGCCAGCCAAGGAGCGGCGGAGCUCCUCCUCCUCGUCGUCCUCCUCCAGCUCCUCGUCUUCGUCCUCCUCGUCGUCGUCAUCGUCGUCAUCAUCUGGCUCCAGUUCUAGCGACUCGGAGGGCUCCAGCCUUCCUCCUCAGCCUGAGGUGGCACUGAAGAGGGUCCCGAGCCCUGCCCCAGCCCCCAAGGAGGCUGUGCGAGAGGGACGGCCCCCGGAGCCCACCCCAGCCAAACGGAAGAGGCGUUCCAGCAGCUCCAGUUCUAGCUCCUCUUCUUCCUCCUCCUCCUCAUCCUCCUCCUCCUCUUCCUCCUCCUCCUCUUCUUCCUCUUCCUCCUCUUCCUCUUCCUCCUCCUCCUCAUCCUCCUCUUCCUCCCCUGCUAAGCCUGGCCCUCAGGCCUUGCCCAAACCUGCAAGCCCCAAGAAGCCACCCCCUGGCGAGCACAGGAUUUGGGGCACUUGUCUCCCCUACCUGCUUUGCUGUACCCUGAUUUGGCACAUGGCUGCAGGGUCAGAGUACAUCCUCAAGCCAGAACAAGGGGACUCUGAAGUCUCUUCCCUGCCCUCACCAUGCAGCCUGCUCCCAGGGAUUGUAGUUUUAAGUCUCCCCAUUGCUACUGCCAGGGCUCUGGUCUGGCCGCCGUCAUCUUCUCCCGACUCUGUCCACAGCCUCCUCCCUGUCUCCCUGCCUCCACGCCAUUCUCUUCCACACGUAGCCAGAGGGAUGUUUCUAAAACGCACAUCUGGUUACUUCCCUCCACGCCACAAAUCCUUCCGGGACGCCCUGUGGCCUGCAGGACAAAGCCCCGUCUCUGCAGGAAUGGCGUGUGAGGCUCUUCACCACCUGACCUUGCCCGCGCACUGCGCUCCUACUGCCCGCCCCCACACAUGCCCUGGGCUCCAGCCACACUCAGCGCCUUGCAGUCUAAGGAGAGCCCCAUGCCUUUGGACAUGCUGUUCCUUCUGCCUGGAAUUUCCUUGUCCGCCUGGUGAACUCCUCGUUCUGCAAGACUCCGCUCAAACAGCACCUCCAAGAAGACUGCCCUGCCCUGCCCUGCCCUGCCCACGUCUCCCUCCCCUGGGCCCCCAGACCUGUGUACAUCCAUGACCCUGGGGCUGCCUCCCACACACGGGGCCACGUGGGCCUUACCUGUUGGCCUCCUUCCACCAUCAGACUGAGUUCCUCCAAGUACAGGGACUGUCUUAAUCUUUGCAUCCCCCGCUGUCCCCUGUGGCCUGCCCACUGGGGACACUCAGUGGAUGGUGUGCGGGCGGAUGGGUGAGUGCGGACAAAGGUGGGUCUGAGGCUGGCCCUGUGUGGUGUGAGGUUUGGUGGUCAGGACCUGGGUGGGUGGUCCUGCGUGCUGGCUGGCGGGUUGGGAGGGGUGUGGUGCUAAGGAGGCCACCUCUGCUCCUCAGGUCUCGCAGCCCCCGGAAGCCGAUAGACUCUCUGCGGGACUCACGGUCCCUCAGCUACUCACCUGUGGAGCGUCACUGUCCCUCACCCCAGCCCUCACCACGGGACCAGCAGAGCAGUGGUGAGCGGGGUUCCCGGAGAGGCCAGCAUG